CAAAUACUCCCUCCGUCCGGAAAUACUUGUCGGAGAAAUGGAUGUAUCUAGAUGUAUUUUAGUUAUAGAUACAUUCAGUUUUAUCCAUCUCCCCGACAAGUAUUUCGGGACCGGGGGGGGUAUAUA
Non-coding RNA from Triticum aestivum (bread wheat), 126 nucleotides. The record is from Rfam. Lineage: Eukaryota; Viridiplantae; Streptophyta; Magnoliopsida; Poales; Poaceae.